AAAUGCGAUAAGUAAUGUAAAUUGCAGAAUUCAGUGAAUCAUCGAAUCUUUGAACGCACCUUGCGCUCCUUGGUAUUCCUUGGAGCAUGCCUGUUUGAGUAUCAUGAAAUCUUCAAAGUAAAUCUUUUGUUAACUCAAUUGGUUUCUACUUUGGUAUUGGAGGUCUUUGCAGCUUCACACCUGCUCCUCUUUGUUCAUUAGCUGGAUCUCAGUGUUAUGCUUGGUUCCACUCGGCGUGAUAAGUUAUCUAUCGCUGAGGACACUGUAAAAGGUGGCCAAGGUAAAUGCAGAUGAACCGCUUCUAAUAGUCCAUUGACUUGGACAAUACUUUUAUGAUCUGAUCUCAAAUCAGGUAGGACUACCCGCUGAACUUAAGC
RNAcentral lists this unclassified non-coding RNA (377 nucleotides) under plant metagenome. RNAcentral's name for it is "partial contains 5.8S ribosomal RNA, internal transcribed spacer 2, and large subunit ribosomal RNA". The stretch from base 1 to 104 matches the Rfam family "5.8S ribosomal RNA", at positions 51 to 154 of the family's 154-position model. The record is from RNAcentral.